AGACCGCGGCCUAUCAGCUUGUUGGUGAGGUAAUAGCUCACCAAGGCAACGACGGGUAGCUGGUCUGAGAGGAUGUCCAGCCACAUUGGAACUGAGAUACGGUCCAAACUCCUACGGGAGGCAGCAGUUAGGAAUCUUGCACAAUGGGGGAAACCCUGAUGCAGCGAUGCCGCGUGCGGGAUGAAGGCCCUAGGGUUGUAAACCGCUUUCAGUAGGGAAGAAAGUGACGGUACCUACAGAAGAAGCCCCGGCCAACUAUGUGCCAGCAGCCGCGGCGAUACAUAGGGGGCUAGCGUUGUCCGGAUUUACUGGGCGUAAAGAGCUCGUAGGCGGUUUAAUAAGUCGACAAGUGAAAUCUCCAGGCUCAACCUGGAGCAGCCUUGCGAUACUAUUAUGACUUGAGUGUGGUAGAGGAGUGUGGAAUUCCCAGUGUAGCGGUGAAAUGCGCAGAUAUUGGGAGGAACACCUAUGGCGAAGGCAGCACUCUGG
RNAcentral lists this ribosomal RNA (489 nucleotides) under uncultured bacterium. RNAcentral describes it as "bacterial SSU rRNA". It matches the Rfam family "Bacterial small subunit ribosomal RNA", at positions 228 to 732 of the family's 1533-position model. The record is from RNAcentral.